GGUUAAGCGACUAAGCGUACACGGUGGAUGCCCUGGCAGUCAGAGGCGAUGAAGGACGUGCUAAUCUGCGAAAAGCGUCGGUAAGGUGAUAUGAACCGUUAUAACCGGCGAUGUCCGAAUGGGGAAACCCAGUGUGAUUCGUCACACUAUCGUUAACUGAAUACAUAGGUUAACGAGGCGAACCGGGGGAACUGAAACAUCUAAGUACCCCGAGGAAAAGAAAUCAACCGAGAUUCCCCCAGUAGCGGCGAGCGAACGGGGAGCAGCCCAGAGUCUGAAUCAGCUUGUGUGUUAGUGGAACGGUCUGGAAAGUCCGACGGUACAGGGUGAUAGUCCCGUACACCAAAAUGCACAGGCUGUGAACUCGAAGAGUAGGGCGGGACACGUGGUAUCCUGUCUGAAUAUGGGGGGACCAUCCUCCAAGGCUAAAUACUCCUGACUGACCGAUAGUGAACCAGUACCGUGAGGGAAAGGCGAAAAGAACCCCGGCGAGGGGAGUGAAAAAGAACCUGAAACCGUGUACGUACAAGCAGUGGGAGCACCUUCGGGUGUGACUGCGUACCUUUUGUAUAAUGGGUCAGCGACUUAUAUUCUGUAGCAAGGUUAACCGUAUAGGGGAGCCGCAGGGAAACCGAGUCUUAACUGGGCGUUAAGUUGCAGGGUAUAGACCCGAAACCCGGUGAUCUAGCCAUGGGCAGGUUGAAGGUUGGGUAACACUAACUGGAGGACCGAACCGACUAAUGUUGAAAAAUUAGCGGAUGACUUGUGGCUGGGGGUGAAAGGCCAAUCAAACCGGGAGAUAGCUGGUUCUCCCCGAAAGCUAUUUAGGUAGCGCCUCGUGAACUCAUCUUCGGGGGUAGAGCACUGUUUCGGCUAGGGGGUCAUCCCGACUUACCAACCCGAUGCAAACUACGAAUACCGAAGAAUGUUAUCACGGGAGACACACGGCGGGUGCUAACGUCCGUCGUGAAGAGGGAAACAACCCAGACCGCCAGCUAAGGUCCCAAAGUCAUGGUUAAGUGGGAAACGAUGUGGGAAGGCACAGACAGCCAGGAUGUUGGCUUAGAAGCAGCCAUCAUUUAAAGAAAGCGUAAUAGCUCACUGGUCGAGUCGGCCUGCGCGGAAGAUGUAACGGGGCUAAACCAUGCACCGAAGCUGCGGCAGCGACACUAUGUGUUGUUGGGUAGGGGAGCGUUCUGUAAGCCUGCGAAGGUGUGCUGUGAGGCAUGCUGGAGGUAUCAGAAGUGCGAAUGCUGACAUAAGUAACGAUAAAGCGGGUGAAAAGCCCGCUCGCCGGAAGACCAAGGGUUCCUGUCCAACGUUAAUCGGGGCAGGGUGAGUCGACCCCUAAGGCGAGGCCGAAAGGCGUAGUCGAUGGGAAACAGGUUAAUAUUCCUGUACUUGGUGUUACUGCGAAGGGGGGACGGAGAAGGCUAUGUUAGCCGGGCGACGGUUGUCCCGGUUUAAGCAUGUAGGCUGGUUAUCCAGGCAAAUCCGGAUAAUCAAGGCUGAGGUGUGAUGACGAGGCACUACGGUGCUGAAGUAACAAAUGCCCUGCUUCCAGGAAAAGCCUCUAAGCAUCAGGUAACAUCAAAUCGUACCCCAAACCGACACAGGUGGUCAGGUAGAGAAUACCAAGGCGCUUGAGAGAACUCGGGUGAAGGAACUAGGCAAAAUGGUGCCGUAACUUCGGGAGAAGGCACGCUGGUGUGUAGGUGAAGCCCCUGCGGGUGGAGCUGAGACCAGUCGAAGAUACCAGCUGGCUGCAACUGUUUAUUAAAAACACAGCACUGUGCAAACACGAAAGUGGACGUAUACGGUGUGACGCCUGCCCGGUGCCGGAAGGUUAAUUGAUGGGGUUAUCCGUAAGGAGAAGCUCUUGAUCGAAGCCCCGGUAAACGGCGGCCGUAACUAUAACGGUCCUAAGGUAGCGAAAUUCCUUGUCGGGUAAGUUCCGACCUGCACGAAUGGCGUAAUGAUGGCCAGGCUGUCUCCACCCGAGACUCAGUGAAAUUGAACUCGCUGUGAAGAUGCAGUGUACCCGCGGCAAGACGGAAAGACCCCGUGAACCUUUACUAUAGCUUGACACUGAACAUUGAGCCUUGAUGUGUAGGAUAGGUGGGAGGCUUUGAAGCGUGGACGCCAGUCUGCGUGGAGCCAACCUUGAAAUACCACCCUUUAAUGUUUGAUGUUCUAACGUUGGCCCCUUACCGGGGUUGCGGACAGUGUCUGGUGGGUAGUUUGACUGGGGCGGUCUCCUCCCAAAGCGUAACGGAGGAGCACGAAGGUUAGCUAAUCCUGGUCGGACAUCAGGAGGUUAGUGCAAUGGCAUAAGCUAGCUUGACUGCGAGCGUGACGGCGCGAGCAGGUGCGAAAGCAGGUCAUAGUGAUCCGGUGGUUCUGAAUGGAAGGGCCAUCGCUCAACGGAUAAAAGGUACUCCGGGGAUAACAGGCUGAUACCGCCCAAGAGUUCAUAUCGACGGCGGUGUUUGGCACCUCGAUGUCGGCUCAUCACAUCCUGGGGCUGAAGUAGGUCCCAAGGGUAUGGCUGUUCGCCAUUUAAAGUGGUACGCGAGCUGGGUUUAGAACGUCGUGAGACAGUUCGGUCCCUAUCUGCCGUGGGCGCUGGAGAAUUGAGGGGGGCUGCUCCUAGUACGAGAGGACCGGAGUGGACGCAUCACUGGUGUUCGGGUUGUCAUGCCAAUGGCACUGCCCGGUAGCUAAAUGCGGAAGAGAUAAGUGCUGAAAGCAUCUAAGCACGAAACUUGCCCCGAGAUGAGUUCUCCCUGAGACUUUAAGUCUCCUGAAGGAACGUUAAAGACGAUGACGUUGAUAGGCCGGGUGUGUAAGCGCAGCGAUGCGUUGAGCUAACCGGUACUAAUGAACCGUGAGGCUUAACCUUAC
RNAcentral lists this ribosomal RNA (2904 nucleotides) under Klebsiella pneumoniae hvKP1. RNAcentral describes it as "bacterial LSU rRNA". It matches the Rfam family "Bacterial large subunit ribosomal RNA". Lineage: Bacteria; Pseudomonadati; Pseudomonadota; Gammaproteobacteria; Enterobacterales; Enterobacteriaceae. The record is from RNAcentral.